RNAcentral lists this ribosomal RNA (301 nucleotides) under uncultured bacterium. RNAcentral describes it as "partial 16S ribosomal RNA". It matches the Rfam family "Bacterial small subunit ribosomal RNA", at positions 509 to 809 of the family's 1533-position model. The record is from RNAcentral.
CAGCAGCCGCGGGAAUACAGAGGGUGCGAGCGUUAAUCGGAUUUACUGGGCGUAAAGCGUGCGUAGGCGGCUUCUUAAGUCGGAUGUGAAAUCCCUGAGCUUAACUUAGGAAUUGCAUUCGAUACUGGGAAGCUAGAGUAUGGGAGAGGAUGGUAGAAUUCCAGGUGUAGCGGUGAAAUGCGUAGAGAUCUGGAGGAAUACCGAUGGCGAAGGCAGCCAUCUGGCCUAAUACUGACGCUGAGGCACGAAAGCUAGGGGAGCAAACAGGAUUAGAUACCCGCGUAGUCCCUGUCUCUUAUAA